AUUGAACGCUGGCGACAUGCCUUACACAUGCAAGUCGAACGGCAGCACGGGUGCUUGCACCUGGUGGCGAGUGGCGAACGGGUGAGUAAUACAUCGGAACAUGUCCUGUAGUGGGGGAUAGCCCGGCGAAAGCCGGAUUAAUACCGCAUACGAUCUACGGAUGAAAGCGGGGGACUUUCGGGCCUCGCGCGAUAGGGUUGGGCGGUGGCUGAUUAGCUAGUUGGUGGGGUAAAGGCCUACCAAGGCGACGAUCAGUAGCUGGUCUGAGAGGACGACCAGCCACACUGGGACUGAGACACGGCCCAGACUCCUACGGGAGGCAGCAGUGGGGAAUUUUGGACAAUGGGCGAAAGCCUGAUCCAGCAAUGCCGCGUGUGUGAAGAAGGCCUUCGGGUUGUAAAGCACUUUUGUCCGGAAAGAAAUCCUUGGCCCUAAUACGGUCGGGGGAUGACGGUACCGGAAGAAUAAGCACCGGCUAACUACGUG
This 486-nucleotide ribosomal RNA is filed under the name uncultured bacterium. RNAcentral describes it as "partial 16S ribosomal RNA". It matches the Rfam family "Bacterial small subunit ribosomal RNA", at positions 30 to 507 of the family's 1533-position model. The record is from RNAcentral.